AAUCAACGCUGGCGGCGUGCCUAACACAUGCAAGUCGAGCGCGAAAAGGGGCUUCGGCUCCUUAGUAGAGCGGCGGACGGGUGAGUAACACGUGGGUAACCUACCCUCGGGUGGGGAAUAACUUCGGGAAACCGGGGCUAAUUCCGCAUGACAUCCCAGACUCAUAAGGGUUUGGGAUCAAAGCUGGGGAUCCUUCGGGACCUGGCGCCUGAGUGAGGGGCCCGCGGCCGAUUAGCUUGUUGGUAAGGUAAUGGCUUACCAAGGCUUCGAUCGGUAGCCGGCCUGAGAGGGCGGACGGCCACACUGGGACUGAGACACGGCCCAGACUCCUACGGGAGGCAGCAGUGGGGAAUUUUUGUCAAUGGGGGAAACCCUGAACAAGCAACGCCGUGUGGAGGAUGAAGGCCUUCGGGUCGUAAACUCCUGUCAGAGGGGACGAAAGCGGUUAGGGUUAAUACCCCUAGCUGUUGACGGUACCCUACGAGGAAGCCCCGGCUAACUCCGUG
RNAcentral lists this ribosomal RNA (506 nucleotides) under uncultured bacterium. RNAcentral's name for it is "bacterial SSU rRNA". It matches the Rfam family "Bacterial small subunit ribosomal RNA", at positions 32 to 507 of the family's 1533-position model. The record is from RNAcentral.